GAGGGUAUAGCUCAGUGGUAGAGCGCAUGCAGGAGGUCCUGGGUUUAAUCCCAGUACCUAUA
This 62-nucleotide transfer RNA is filed under the name Camelus bactrianus (Bactrian camel). It matches the Rfam family "tRNA". From Rfam's summary of the family: Transfer RNA (tRNA) molecules are approximately 80 nucleotides in length. Their secondary structure includes four short double-helical elements and three loops (D, anti-codon, and T loops). Lineage: Eukaryota; Metazoa; Chordata; Mammalia; Artiodactyla; Camelidae. RNAcentral also lists the same sequence under 2 other names. The record is from Rfam by way of RNAcentral.